ACAGGCGCGUUUGGAUGUUGCUGAGUUCAUCAAGUUACUGUGAAACGGAAUGGAACAAGGCAGGUUAAGCGUAGGCAUAGAAUCCUGUAGGCCGCAGGGGUGAUCGCGCACCCUCAAGUGCUGGUACAGCUUCGACAAGCUCAGUUCCGGCCGCUGAGGGUUUAAACUGCACCGAAGGCAACACAGAAGCACCCGUCAAGGCGAGGGUGUGGAGGUCCGGCGGAGUCCAUAGGCCG
Non-coding RNA from Thioalkalivibrio nitratireducens DSM 14787, 236 nucleotides. The record is from Rfam. NCBI's taxonomy places the organism in Bacteria, Pseudomonadati, Pseudomonadota, Gammaproteobacteria, Chromatiales, Ectothiorhodospiraceae.